Equus caballus (horse) is the source of this 1884-nucleotide non-coding RNA. The record is from RefSeq and is a predicted model, not a curated record. NCBI's taxonomy places the organism in Eukaryota, Metazoa, Chordata, Mammalia, Perissodactyla, Equidae.
AAGAAUCAAACACUGAAUCAAUCAUCCUCAGGUUACUCCUUUUCCUAACAUAUUCUCUCUUCUAAAAUUCCCUUCUAAGAAUUCUCCCAGACCACAGUUUUAUAUUACAUUUGACCACACUUGCUUUGGUAAACAUUUUUGUUUUCCUUAAAACAGUAAAGUGAACCAGACUGGGAAUAAGAUCUGGUCUAACUCUACACACAUUUCAAAAACACCACCACUAUUCAGUAAAAAUGCUUUUUGAGAUUUCUUGUUACUAACACGUCCACUUUGUUCUGCUAAUUUCAACUGCCUCUCUAUACAAAGUCUGUACUAAAUUCGCUGCAGCAGCAUCUCCACGAAUAGAAGACUGUCCUAAAGUCACUGCUGGGGGCAAGCAAGGUGGGCAUCUAGGGUGCAGCCCAAGUGGGACGAAGAGGGAGUCCCCAAGGAGGGCAGCCAGGAAUGGUGAGGAGGAUGCCCACAGGUGGGAGUAGAGGGGGCAUCCAUGCAGGAGGGCAGCUGCACACAUCACAAUGGGACUAGGGAACAGAACCAAUAAGAUGAUGGCAUAUCACAGAAACAGAGUGCCUAGUAGACUCUUCAAUAAAAAUGUGGGGGAAAAUGAUGGAACAAUGCAGAUAAGCUUAGAUGUAUAGCAUCCCACUUCAAAGGCAUGUGAAAGGCCACCUGGACCACCCACUAACCUCACACUCCUAUGAUUUCCACACCACCUUUGAGCAGUUCAUACACUCCUGACAUUGCUGAUUUGUCUUCCUAAAUCUCCACUCAAGCCUCCUUUUAACAGCACUGGCCUAGUAAGAGCAUCAACUUCUCCAACUAGGACUUGCAUCAACACCACUUCCAGUCCCAGCUCUUACCAAAGAGCCAGGCUGUCCAGAACUUUCCUAUGUAAAUCAUAUUGCUUCUAGGUAAAAAUCCCUCAAAAAAUCUCCUCCCUAGGUUACAUCAGCAACGUGGUGGAGUGAGCUGUUCCCUUUAUCUCUCCCCUUCCAACUACAACUAAAUUGACAUUCCUUGAUCAACAGAGGAUACCCACCCAGCACAAGAUAACACCUGAGAGACCCACACAGCUAUACAUCUAUCUGAAGGUGGAUGGACUACCCCGGAAGAGGUGGUGCAGGAAAAAUGAAACAAUAUUAAAAUUAAAUUCUGAUUCCAAAGACGCCAACAGGUAACAGAACAGCAAAAAGUACCAAUAUAAUCUUGAACUAUAAUAAGAGAAGAAAGGUGGCUGAAACGAAGAGAGGACUGAGACUUGAUGAACUCAACCUGAGACAUCUGCUGAGAGCGCGACCAGAGGAAGAGUCAGCAACCCGGAUCCUACCACUGGCUCCACCACUUAGCGCCAUCCGUAAAAUGGGGACACAGCUUUCCUCUUGGGUUGCUGUGAGGACUGAAUGACACAGGAGCACGGGGGACAUUUUACUACAGUGCAUGCCACAGAGGCUCAACAAAUGCUCACUGUCCUUCACAUUCCAUUCUGGGCACCAUUAUUUAAGAUGGCCAUUGCGACCACCGAGAACAUACCCAGGAAGGCAAGAGAUGAAAAGAAACCCGGAAAUCCAACCAUCUGAAAAACACUUGCAGCAACGAGGCAAGUUUAACUUCGACUGGGACAGUAACGGAGGCAGGAUGACUGAGCACCUAAAAGACUCAUACGGAAGUCAACUCAUUUAGCAGAGUACAGGAAAACGAAGCUUAAAAAAGUACAGGGAGGCAGACUGCCAGCUCUCUGUUAGAAAGAACAACAUGUUCAAAAAUGGAAUAAAUCGCUUUUGAAAGUUACUGCAAGCGCUCAAAGGAGAAAAAAAAACACAAACAGGAAAUACUUAAAAGGUCUUCCCCAGCACAAUAAAGGCAUCAGAAAUGCCAUUACACUUC